RNAcentral lists this unclassified non-coding RNA (87 nucleotides) under Pseudomonas fragi. The record is from RNAcentral. Lineage: Bacteria; Pseudomonadati; Pseudomonadota; Gammaproteobacteria; Pseudomonadales; Pseudomonadaceae.
UGUGGGAGCGGGCUUGCUCGCGAUGCAAGCGCUGCGGUCGGCCAGGUAAACCGCAUUGAUGCCAUCGCGAGCAAGCCCGCUCCCACA